This 315-nucleotide ribosomal RNA is filed under the name Triticum aestivum (bread wheat). RNAcentral describes it as "partial small subunit ribosomal RNA". The record is from RNAcentral. Lineage: Eukaryota; Viridiplantae; Streptophyta; Magnoliopsida; Poales; Poaceae.
CUUUCUUCACCACGGACCGCCAAGUUUCCAGCACCGAUCAUUGAAGAACUACUCGACGAGCUACACGACGCACACUGGUUUUCCAUGUUGGACCUGUGCGCAGGCUACCACCAGACCAAGCUCGCGGAAGGGGAGGAAUUCAAGAUGGUGUUCCAGACCAAUUCCGGCCACUUCGAGUACAAGGUGGUCUCCUUUGGGCUUGCGGGCGUACCGGCAACAUUCAACGGCGCCAUGACUCACACGCUCCACCCCCUCCUACGACGCUGCAUGCCGCUCUUCUUUGACGACAUCCUCAUCUUCAAUCGCACCAUGUAA